This 778-nucleotide ribosomal RNA is filed under the name uncultured bacterium. RNAcentral's name for it is "bacterial SSU rRNA". It matches the Rfam family "Bacterial small subunit ribosomal RNA", at positions 18 to 773 of the family's 1533-position model. The record is from RNAcentral.
CCUGGCUCAGAUUGAACGCUGGCGGCAGGCCUAACACAUGCAAGUCGAGCGGAAACGGCAGUAUUGAAGCUUCGGUGGAUUUACUGGACGUCGAGCGGCGGACGGGUGAGUAACGGCUGGGAACCUGCCCUGACGAGGGGGAUAACCGUUGGAAACGACGGCUAAUACCGCAUAAUGUCUACGGACCAAAGGUGGCCUCUACAUGUAAGCUAUCGCGUUGGGAUGGGCCCAGUUAGGAUUAGCUAGUUGGUAAGGUAAUGGCAUACCAAGGCAACGAUCCUUAGCUGGUUUGAGAGGAUGAUCAGCCACACUGGGACUGAGACACGGCCCAGACUCCUACGGGAGGCAGCAGUGGGGAAUAUUGCACAAUGGGGGAGACCCUGAUGCAGCCAUGCCGCGUGUGUGAAGAAGGCCUUCGGGUUGUAAAGCACUUUCAGCAGUGAGGAAGGUCGUGUACUUAAUACGUGCACGGCUUGACGUUAGCUGCAGAAGAAGCACCGGCUAACUCCGUGCCAGCAGCCGCGGUAAUACGGAGGGUGCGAGCGUUAAUCGGAAUUACUGGGCGUAAAGCGCAUGCAGGCGGUUUGUUAAGUCAGAUGUGAAAGCCCGGGGCUCAACCUCGGAACCGCAUUUGAAACUGGCAGGCUAGAGUCUUGUAGAGGGGGGUGGAAUUUCAGUGUAGCGGUGAAAUGCGUAGAGAUCUGAAGGAAUACCAGUGGCGAAAGGCGGCCCCCUGGACAAAGACUGACGCUCAGAUGCGAAAGCGUGGGUAGCAAAC